UACGUAGGGGGCUAGCGUUGUCCGGAUUUAUUGGGCGUAAAGAGCGUGUAGGCGGCCAUGUAGGUCCGGUGUGAAAACUCGAGGCUUAACCUCGAGAUGUCAUCGGAAACCAUUUGGCUAGAGUCCGGAAGAGGAGAGUGGAAUUCCUGGUGUAGCGGUGAAAUGCGCAGAUAUCAGGAAGAACACCAAUGGCGAAAGCAGCUCUCUGGGACGUUACUGACGCUGAGACGCGAAAGCGUGGGGAGCAAACAGG
Molecule: ribosomal RNA, 253 nt
Filed under: uncultured bacterium
Lineage: Bacteria
Description: partial 16S ribosomal RNA
Rfam family: Bacterial small subunit ribosomal RNA
Source: RNAcentral